CGAAUCAAAUCUGAUUCAUCUUCAGCAGUGUUUUGCAAGAUAUGUAUUCACAUAUCUUGCAAAACACUGCUGAAGAUGAAUCAGAUUUGAUUCGAAAUAU
This is a non-coding RNA of Paramuricea clavata, 100 nucleotides long. The record is from the annotation of a GenBank genome assembly. NCBI's taxonomy places the organism in Eukaryota, Metazoa, Cnidaria, Anthozoa, Malacalcyonacea, Plexauridae.